CUUCAGGGUGACAGGUUAGUACAGUGGUGAACCUAUAGGUCUUCAGUGUAACAGGUUGGUACAGUGGUGAACCUAUAGGUCUUCAGUUUGUGACAGGUUAGUACAGUGGUGAACCUAUAGGUCUUCAGUUUGUGACAGGUUGGUACAGUGGUGAACCUAUAGGUCUUCAGUGUGUGACAGGUUAGUACAGUGGUGAACCUAUAGGUCUUCAGUGUGUGACAGGUUAGUACAGUGGUGAACCUAUAGGUCUUCAGUGUAACAGGUUAGUACAGUGGUGAACCUAUAGGUCUUCAGUGUGUGACAGGUUAGUACAGUGGUGAACCUAUAGGUCUUCAGUGUAACAGGUUAGUACAGUG
Long non-coding RNA from Oncorhynchus tshawytscha (Chinook salmon), 356 nucleotides. NCBI's taxonomy places the organism in Eukaryota, Metazoa, Chordata, Actinopteri, Salmoniformes, Salmonidae. The record is from Ensembl.